GCCGAAGUGGUGGAAUUGGUAGACACGCUAGGUUCAGGGUCUAGUGAGCGUCCGCUCGUGGGAGUUCGACUCUCCCCUUCGGCA
This 84-nucleotide transfer RNA is filed under the name Desulfobaculum bizertense DSM 18034. RNAcentral's name for it is "Desulfovibrio bizertensis DSM 18034 tRNA". It matches the Rfam family "tRNA". Rfam says of the family: Transfer RNA (tRNA) molecules are approximately 80 nucleotides in length. Lineage: Bacteria; Pseudomonadati; Thermodesulfobacteriota; Desulfovibrionia; Desulfovibrionales; Desulfovibrionaceae. The record is from Rfam by way of RNAcentral.